UACGAAGGGGGCUAGCGUUGCUCGGAAUUACUGGGCGUAAAGGGAGCGUAGGCGGAUAGUUCAGUCAGAGGUGAAAGCCCAGGGCUCAACCUUGGAACUGCCUUUGAUACUGGCCAUCUUGAGUUUGGGAGAGGUAUGUGGAACUCCGAGUGUAGAGGUGAAAUUCGUAGAUAUUCGGAAGAACACCAGUGGCGAAGGCGACAUACUGGCCCAAUACUGACGCUGAGGCUCGAAAGCGUGGGGAGCAAACAGG
RNAcentral lists this ribosomal RNA (253 nucleotides) under uncultured bacterium. Its description in RNAcentral is "partial 16S ribosomal RNA". It matches the Rfam family "Bacterial small subunit ribosomal RNA", at positions 524 to 776 of the family's 1533-position model. The record is from RNAcentral.